This 449-nucleotide ribosomal RNA is filed under the name uncultured bacterium. RNAcentral's name for it is "bacterial SSU rRNA". It matches the Rfam family "Bacterial small subunit ribosomal RNA", at positions 328 to 792 of the family's 1533-position model. The record is from RNAcentral.
GGCCCAGACUCCUACGGGAGGCAGCAGUGGGGAAUAUUGGGCAAUGGGCGCAAGCCUGACCCAGCAACGCCGCGUGAAGGAAGAAGGCUUUCGGGUUGUAAACUUCUUUUAAGAGGGAAGAGAAGAAGACGGUACCUCUUGAAUAAGCCACGGCUAACUACGUGCCAGCAGCCGCGGUAAUACGUAGGUGGCAAGCGUUGUCCGGAUUUACUGGGUGUAAAGGGCGUGCAGCCGGGAAGACAAGUCAGAUGUGAAAUCCCGCGGCUCAACCGCGGAACUGCAUUUGAAACUGGCAAACUGGAGUGUGUGAGAGGAUAGUGGAAUUCCAGGUGUAGGAGUGAAAUCCGUAGAUAUCUGGAGGAACAUCAGUGGCGAAGGCGACUAUCUGGCACAUAACUGACGCUGAGGAGCGAAAGCGUGGGUAGCAAACAGGAUUAGAUACCCGGGUA